Molecule: small nucleolar RNA, 103 nt
Organism: Spea bombifrons (plains spadefoot toad)
Lineage: Eukaryota; Metazoa; Chordata; Amphibia; Anura; Pelobatidae
Product: small nucleolar RNA SNORD16
Exons: 1
Source: RefSeq, a predicted model, not a curated record
UGCCGUGAUGUUGUAAUUUGCGUCUUACUCCACACUAUGCGACAGUUGCCUGCUGUCACUAUGCUGGUGUGAGUGGCUGCAGAAAAAAACAAAGUUCUGAGCA